Molecule: unclassified non-coding RNA, 337 nt
Filed under: Hevea brasiliensis (rubber tree)
Lineage: Eukaryota; Viridiplantae; Streptophyta; Magnoliopsida; Malpighiales; Euphorbiaceae
Source: RNAcentral
UCGUGUUUGAGCCUGGUGAACAGAGGCUCAGACUUGACGAUCUGUUCUCUUCCGUUACCCUCGAUUCCGGUGAGGUCGAGGGCACAGUUGCCUUGGGGAAUCUGGUGUUCCCGCCCUCGUCCGCUCGCGUGUUGGGCUGGACGAUAACCGUUACUUCGGUUAAUUCCGAAGUGCAAUUUCGAACUGGUGUAGGCCAUUCGAAGACCGCACGUGUUGUUGUUCCGUGCUCGUUCCCGCGCCCGGCUGGAGCUGUCGAAGCUCCGCCUGUUAAUUUGGUCGGUCCUGAGGACACGACUUUCGGUGUUUUCGGCUCGGUGACGGUUUACUUCAAACCGCC